AGGGAAAGUCAAAUCUCUGAUCUGGUCAAGCUGCGCUUACAAAGGAGGAGCUCUGCUUUUCAUUUCUAGUAUGCCAAAACCUUGGUUUGAUUUGAAGAGAAAAAGUGGUUGCCUUUCUAUCAUUCCUUCUAAAUUGUCUUCAAUGGCUUCUCCUCCAAUGUCCCGGAAUGUUGGGCUCUGAGACACUGGAUUAGGAGCAAGGCGCCUCAAACAGACACUUCCUUCUCUCUCUGGGCACCGUCAGAACCUCCAGAUAAGCUGGCAACUGCAAAUGAAUUUCAAGCAUUUGGCAAAGUGAGAUUGAACAUCACCUCACUCUGGUUUGCCACUGAAGCCUUAAUAUUACGUUUUUUCCUACAGGCAGACGAAAAAAUGUUACAGUACUAGGGAUGCUUAAGUCUCACUCAAUGACCUGCAAGUUCUUCAACAGACAGAUGGGAAAUUGAGAAGCACCCCUGUGGACUGAAAAACUGGCUAGUUUGACUCCUUCUGAAUUCUUUUCACAAAACAGUAAAUGACAAAUAAAAAUCAGAAUCUGUUACUCUAAGAGGAGUGUCUC
This 559-nucleotide long non-coding RNA is filed under the name Macaca mulatta (Rhesus monkey). RNAcentral's name for it is "lncRNA (ENSMMUG00000049466.1)". Lineage: Eukaryota; Metazoa; Chordata; Mammalia; Primates; Cercopithecidae. The record is from RNAcentral.